UGUCGGUCCCUUCGCAAUCGGAUAUUUGUGAAUUCCGUCAGGCCCGGAAGGGAGCAGCGGCAGCAGAUGUUUGGUGUGCCGGGGUGUGGCUGGCAGGG
This 98-nucleotide signal recognition particle RNA is filed under the name Gammaproteobacteria bacterium. Its description in RNAcentral is "signal recognition particle sRNA small type". It matches the Rfam family "Bacterial small signal recognition particle RNA". From Rfam's summary of the family: The signal recognition particle (SRP) is a universally conserved ribonucleoprotein involved in the co-translational targeting of proteins to membranes. Archaeal SRP consists of a 7S RNA and homologues of the eukaryotic SRP19 and SRP54 proteins. The record is from RNAcentral. Lineage: Bacteria; Pseudomonadati; Pseudomonadota; Gammaproteobacteria.